Molecule: long non-coding RNA, 776 nt
Organism: Stegodyphus dumicola
Lineage: Eukaryota; Metazoa; Arthropoda; Arachnida; Araneae; Eresidae
Source: RefSeq, a predicted model, not a curated record
UACAAAUUUCCUGCACUAAUUUAUCAGCUAAAGAUUCAUUUUUCUGCACGUUUUUUAAUUCUGUUUAGUAAUCGAAAGUUGGAGAAUUCCAAAAUUUAUACGUAGUCAUUAAAAAAAGCGAAAAUUAUACAGCGACUGAUACACAAAAUAUGUAACUGCUGAUGCUGGUAAUCACAAUGAAACUGAAACAUCUGUCUAUGAAAUUAUCUGGAACAUUUAUUGCAAAUGAAAAAAAGUGAUUGGGAUGAAUUAACUAAAAGGCAAUCAUAACGUUGAGAUUAUCACUGGUGACAUCAACUUUACGUAUGUACUGAGCAGAAUGAGGGAAACUACAAUACGUCUUCAAGUAUCAAAGAUAACUAAAUUCUGGCCUCAAAGGCAGACAGCAACUGACUGAAAAGCGCGCGGCGAGGUUCCCCCUGUUGUUGAAAAAGAACUACGAUCAGGAUCUAAAAGAUGGUCUACUAGAACAUGCCCAAGAGUGUCAACCACUGAUUGUGACCUCAUGACCCUGUGCACCUCAAGACUGCAUCGAUAUCCAUUCAACAUCAGAAUUUACAUAAAGUGGACCAGUCACCAAGUGGUGCAUUAAUGAGCUGCACCGUAAUUUGAGAUUGAGAUCUAAUAUUGAAUACCAUGCGUUGUUUGUAUGUCUCUUCUAAUGAUCAUGAACAGCAAGAACUAACUGUAAGACUACUGAAAUUAAAUCAUUGAUUAAAAAAUUCUAAAUUUGGUUUGAUGGUGCUGUUAAAUACCCUAUAGAAAUUUCAGGAAAC